UGGCCGGUAGCUCAGCACGGACAGAGCGUUCGGUCUCGUACCGAACGGUCGGGGGUUCGAAUCCUCCUCGGCUAG
This 75-nucleotide transfer RNA is filed under the name Natronorubrum texcoconense. Its description in RNAcentral is "tRNA_Arg_TCG". It matches the Rfam family "tRNA". From Rfam's summary of the family: Transfer RNA (tRNA) molecules are approximately 80 nucleotides in length. Their secondary structure includes four short double-helical elements and three loops (D, anti-codon, and T loops). Lineage: Archaea; Methanobacteriati; Methanobacteriota; Halobacteria; Halobacteriales; Natrialbaceae. The record is from RNAcentral.